AUCGCGUUUGAUUGGAGAACUGGUGUUAUCAACUUCACAUCGCUUCCUAAACAGACAUGGGAUGGUUUAAAUGUGUUGUAAAUUUUGCUGUGGUAUAUACCUACGUUGUUCGUGUAGACUCCCUAAAUUGUAUUGCUUGCCAAAAUAUUGAUGAUCCUCUCGCUUGCAACAACACGAUUACUUGUUCCGGAACACAGGUAUGCUACCUAACUUUGCAAGACGGAAUCUAUAACAUUGGAUGUAUAGACGAUCUG
Long non-coding RNA from Mercenaria mercenaria, 254 nucleotides. RefSeq lists it as uncharacterized. NCBI's taxonomy places the organism in Eukaryota, Metazoa, Mollusca, Bivalvia, Venerida, Veneridae. The transcript is spliced from 4 exons. The record is from RefSeq and is a predicted model, not a curated record.